GCCAGGUGCAGUGGUGCACACCUGUAAUCCCAGGGGCUUGGGAGGCUGAGGCAGGAGGAUCGUGAAUUCAAAGCCAGCCUCAGCAAUUUAGCAAGGUCCUAACCAACUCAGUGAGAUGCUGUCUCUA
RNAcentral lists this small RNA (127 nucleotides) under Marmota monax (woodchuck). Lineage: Eukaryota; Metazoa; Chordata; Mammalia; Rodentia; Sciuridae. The record is from RNAcentral.